This is a long non-coding RNA of Eriocheir sinensis (Chinese mitten crab), 422 nucleotides long. RefSeq lists it as uncharacterized. The transcript is spliced from 2 exons. NCBI's taxonomy places the organism in Eukaryota, Metazoa, Arthropoda, Malacostraca, Decapoda, Varunidae. The record is from RefSeq and is a predicted model, not a curated record.
CUGACCAUCUCGGCUCAGUGGAACAGACCACUUCCUUUACUUACCUGAUCAGACCACCUGUCCACCUGGUCUUGGCAUAACGAUGUCUGUAGAUUAGGUGAGAGUUAAUUGAGUUUCUUGAUAUACGGUGUUUGGGUCAGGGGCUAAUGUGUGAUUAGGUUAGGUUAGGUUGUAUUAGGUGAAAGUUGGUUGAGUUUCUUGAUAUAUACUGUUUGAGUCAGGAGGUACAGUGUGGCUGGACCCUUACCUGCACACACCUGGGAGAGUGAGACGAGGCACACUGGUAUCUGUAAGGGAUUGUAUGUUUAUUUCAACGGUGAGUGAGUCUGUCUUGGUUGUGUCUGGGACAGGAGAAGAAGUAUGAAGGGAAGGAAAUGUCUGGGCUGAGAUUUCUGUGUUUGUUAAUAAAAAGUUGUGAUGUA